GGGCGAUUAGCUCAGUUGGUCAGAGCGCACGGAUCACACCCGUGAGGCCGCCGGUUCGAGUCCGGCAUCGCCCA
Molecule: transfer RNA, 74 nt
Filed under: Sedimentisphaerales bacterium
Lineage: Bacteria; Pseudomonadati; Planctomycetota; Phycisphaerae; Sedimentisphaerales
Description: tRNA-Val
Rfam family: tRNA
About the family: Transfer RNA (tRNA) molecules are approximately 80 nucleotides in length. Their secondary structure includes four short double-helical elements and three loops (D, anti-codon, and T loops).
Source: RNAcentral